Molecule: ribosomal RNA, 479 nt
Filed under: uncultured bacterium
Lineage: Bacteria
Description: bacterial SSU rRNA
Rfam family: Bacterial small subunit ribosomal RNA
Source: RNAcentral
AACACAUGCAAGUCGAGGGGCAUCAGGGAGAAAGCUUGCUUCUUGCUGGCGACCGGCGCACGGGUGAGUAACGCGUAUCCAACCUUCCCCCCAGUAGGGCAUAGCCCGGCGAAAGUCGGAUUAAUACCCUAUGUUUUCCAAUGAGGACAUCUGAGCUGGAACAAAGAUUUAUCGCUGGGGGGAUGGGGAUGCGUCCGAUUAGGUUGUUGGCGGGGUAACGGCCCACCAAGCCCGCGAUCGGUAGGGGUUCUGAGAGGAAGGUCCCCCACACUGGUACUGAGACACGGACCAGACUCCUACGGGAGGCAGCAGUGAGGAAUAUUGGUCAAUGGGCGUAAGCCUGAACCAGCCAAGUAGCGUGCCAGGACGACGGCCCUAUGGGUUGUAAACUGCUUUUAUGCGGGGAUAAAGUGAGGUAUGUAUACCUUUUUGUAGGUACCGCAUGAAUAAGGACCGGCUAAUUCCGUGCCAGCAGCUGC